UGACAAACCGGAGGAAGGUGGGGAUGACGUCAAGUCAUCCAUGGCCCUUACGGCCUGGGCUACACACGUGCUACAAUGGUCGGUACAAAGGGUUGCCAAGCCGCGAGGUGGAGCUAAUCCCAUAAAACCGAUCGUAGUCCGGAUCGCAGUCUGCAACUCGACUGCGUGAAGUCGGAAUCGCUAGUAAUCGUGAAUCAGAAUGUCACGGUGAAUACGUUCCCGGGCCUU
RNAcentral lists this ribosomal RNA (228 nucleotides) under uncultured Pseudomonas sp. RNAcentral's name for it is "partial 16S ribosomal RNA". It matches the Rfam family "Bacterial small subunit ribosomal RNA", at positions 1156 to 1382 of the family's 1533-position model. Lineage: Bacteria; Pseudomonadati; Pseudomonadota; Gammaproteobacteria; Pseudomonadales; Pseudomonadaceae. The record is from RNAcentral.